GAAGAUUUCAGCCAGCACAUGUGCGAUGUCACUUGACUGCUUCUUCUGAGUUAAUUUUGGCGGACAAGUUGCUGGUGGUCUUCGUUUUUGGAAGUUGUAAGAGGUGGAAAUUCUGAGGAUUUCUACUGUUCCACUGCCUCAAAGUUCGUAGACACACUUCCAAUCUCCUCAGUGUGUUGAAGAAGAAAUUAGGCUCUGCAGGAAGGGAACUUUGCAUACUUUUGGCCCACAGCAACUGUUGAAAAGAGGAGGGAGAUCAUCCUCAGGGCAAUUGGUUUCUACCUUAUGAAGACCCAAACAUCCUCUUUAAAGAACACCCGGUUGGUAAUUUCAGUAGUUACUACCUGCAUUAAACCAAACGGCUACAGUUGUGGUCAAAAGUUUACAUACGCUUGUAAACAACAUGUAUUUCAUGACAGUUAAAACCAAAUGCCAUCAAAUACAUGAAAAUGAAUUGUGAUUUUUCCUGAAAUAAAGAAACAAAAAACAGACAGCUUGUUACAUCCCUGGCUUGUCUAGGGGUGGGGGACUAACAAAGAGAUAAAUAAACCGGGUGGAAAAACAAAGGAUGACCCAAAAUGUGUCAAGUUAAUGUAAUUAUUCUAAGUUAGUAACAAAAAAGGUGUUUUAACAACUGAAGGUGAUCUCUGCUCACAUUAGAGACGAUAUGGGGUUUGUUAUGUAAAGUAAAUUAAUUAAGAUAUUUAGCGGAAAAUAUGCAACACAAUACAGAGUCUCUACGGCUCCCACCGCGCUGGUGAGGCAUAUGUGGAGAUCGACGCUCCUCAUCACACCGGCUUCUAGCUGGUCGUGAACACGGGGCCGAUGGCUGCCUCCGCAGAGUCACCAGACGCACGGCGUGAGUAAUUAAGAUCGGCAUCCAGCAGAUCACGUCUCGCUACGGACCACACAAUAAACCACACAGUAAGUCAACCACACUGUAAGCCACACAAUAAGUCACACAGUCUAACGCGAGCAACCACGGAAGACUGAGCCUGAGAGCUCUUCACUGGCUCAGCUUAUGUGCCCCACUGAUUGCCGCUGAUCAGCUCCAGCUGCGGGAUUUACGCAGCGCCAGGCUCAGGGCCCAGGUACACACCUGCAGAAAAGAGACAAGCACAACCCACAGACCUCACGGGUCGUAACACAGCUGUUUGAAUAACGGCUGCUACUAAACUUUCACAUGAUCAACAAAAUCAAUAUGCAACUAACGUUAAUGAUUUUCGCCCGCACACUGUGCAGCACGGUGGCACAUAGCUAACGUCCUCUCCUCCUUCACAGGACAGCUACGUGACAGGUGGCAGUAGGUGACGGUGAAAAUGAGCAGAGGAAAAUAUGAGUGCUACAUUUUAGUCUGGCUGUAAAUGUACAGUGUAGGUUACAGUUUGUCCGUAUUGACAUAGAUGAGGGGGGCAGAAUAAUAGAAACAGUAAAAGUAAAGAUUUAUGGCAGAGCUGUUAGAUUGCAGUAGACUGCAUGCCCUCCAAAUAAAGUGCUUGGUGAGGUAUAUUAAAUAAUACACAAUUGGAUCUAAUAUUUAAUUCACCAGCACUACUUCAUCUUGUAAUUUUUAAACACAUAGCACUGUAUCAUGCUAUUUUUGUUCAAUCAUUACAUAAAGGACACCUGAAAUGCAAACAUUACUCUUUAGAAUUCUGCAAAAUCUGUUUGUGACUUCAUAAUUUGUUUUUCUACUUUCUUUCUGUCCUAUGUAAAGGAUCUGAUGCUACAGCCGUUCCGAGGGAGCUUGGACAAGUUAUCUUUACAGCAUCCGUGUUGAGGGAGGUGAUGCUACCGCUCCUCCAGCUGAUGUUGGGAUAGUCACCGAGGGUGCUGAAGUUCUGCAUGACUUGGGAGACAUCGCCUCUACACGUGCACUCUUAAUAGGUGUAAUUAUGCACUGAAGCUCAGUUAUCCUCAGAACCUUAAAGCCUUCUUUGAGGUACUUCACAAGUGAUUCUUUCAACUAGAUGCUAGCAAACUCUCAACCAAGGUACAGAUGCUCAAGAACAAACUCUAUGAAUGAGCCAUUGAUUUGGAGGCUGUGUUCUGUGGAAUUGGCAGAAUUCUAAGCAGUGCAUCAUCAAAAUUGUUGACAACUAAACAUUAUUUUGCAAACUUUUCAACACUUUAUAGUGCUGAUAAUUUUACUGUAUUAUUUUUUUCACCAGUUGCACCAAAAUGAUAUUGAUGUGUUGGUGAAUAAAGUCCAUAACAAAAUUCAGUUGAAAUGAAUUUGUGUGGGACCAGUUGACAAACAUUUGAUUUGUGUCAAUCUAAUUUGGAAAAAAAUUUUUACUACUCCAAAUAAAAUAUUGAAAGGUAAGCUUAAAUAUAUUGUUGAUCAGAAGUUUUUUUAGUUGGAUCAAUUGACAUUCAUUGUGUUACUCUUAUACAAGUUCAUUACAUUUUUUUGCUUUUAACUAACCUAAAACAAUUUUGUGGAAUCUGUUGAAAAAAUAAAUAUAAUUAAAAUCAAA
Molecule: long non-coding RNA, 2480 nt
Organism: Micropterus salmoides (largemouth bass)
Lineage: Eukaryota; Metazoa; Chordata; Actinopteri; Centrarchiformes; Centrarchidae
Exons: 3
Source: RefSeq, a predicted model, not a curated record